ACGAACGCUGGCGGCGUGCUUAACACAUGCAAGUCGAACGGAAAGGCCCUGCUUUUGUGGGGUGCUCGAGUGGCGAACGGGUGAGUAACACGUGAGUAACCUGCCCUUGACUUUGGGAUAACUUCAGGAAACUGGGGCUAAUACCGGAUAGGAGCUCCUGCUGCAUGGUGGGGGUUGGAAAGUUUCGGCGGUUGGGGAUGGACUCGCGGCUUAUCAGCUUGUUGGUGGGGUAGUGGCUUACCAAGGCUUUGACGGGUAGCCGGCCUGAGAGGGUGACCGGCCACAUUGGGACUGAGAUACGGCCCAGACUCCUACGGGCGGCAGCAGUGGGGAAUAGUGCACAAUGGGCGGAAGCCUGAUGCAGCAACGCCGCGUGCGGGAUGACGGCCUUCGGGUUGUAAACCGCUUUCGCCUGUGACGAAGCGUGAGUGACGGUAAUGGGUAAAGAAGCACCGGCUAACUACGUG
This 467-nucleotide ribosomal RNA is filed under the name uncultured bacterium. Its description in RNAcentral is "partial 16S ribosomal RNA". It matches the Rfam family "Bacterial small subunit ribosomal RNA", at positions 29 to 507 of the family's 1533-position model. The record is from RNAcentral.